UUGCCGGGGUGAGGGUCGCUGUGAUGU
This 27-nucleotide non-coding RNA is filed under the name Rattus norvegicus (Norway rat). Lineage: Eukaryota; Metazoa; Chordata; Mammalia; Rodentia; Muridae. The record is from RNAcentral.